Calliphora vicina (urban bluebottle blowfly) is the source of this 460-nucleotide long non-coding RNA. RefSeq lists it as uncharacterized. The transcript is spliced from 2 exons. The record is from RefSeq and is a predicted model, not a curated record. NCBI's taxonomy places the organism in Eukaryota, Metazoa, Arthropoda, Insecta, Diptera, Calliphoridae.
UGUUUUGUGUUGAGACCGUUCAGAGUUUUUUGUUUGGAGAUUUAUUUUUUUAUUUACCGGACAUUUGUUCGCGUUACGUUUUUCUGGUAAUCGCAACAUCAAUCAUCUUCAUCAUUAUCAUCAUAAUUUACAAAAUUUAAAGGAUCGGAUCAAAUACCAAUUCUUCCAAGCUUUGUGACAGAAAAACAACAAAGAACAGAUUAUGGAUUAAAUAUACAAAUAAGUGUUUUUUGUCUGUCUGGAGCAUUCAAAGAUGGUUCCCGAUUUCCAACAAUCUCCAGUGUCCCCGUGUGUUAAGCAAAGGUGAUACAUGAAACUCUCAAGGGAUGCUCAAUGCUCAACACUGAAUCGCCCAACGAUGCUGGGAUACUUCAAACGAUGUUUCGAUCAUUAAACAAAAUUUUAAAUGUUGUUAAUAGUUUAGGUUAAAUCAAUAAAAAAUUGCAAUAGGCGUAAAAAA